GAUCAUGGGCUCAGGAUGAACGCUAGCGACAGGCUUAACACAUGCAAGUCGAGGGGCAGCAUGAUUUGUAGCAAUACAGAUUGAUGGCGACCGGCGCACGGGUGAGUAACGCGUAUGCAACUUACCUAUCAGAGGGGGAUAGCCCGGCGAAAGUCGGAUUAAUACCCCAUAAAACAGGGGUCCCGCAUGGGAAUAUUUGUUAAAGAUUCAUCGCUGAUAGAUAGGCAUGCG
This 231-nucleotide ribosomal RNA is filed under the name uncultured bacterium. Its description in RNAcentral is "partial 16S ribosomal RNA". It matches the Rfam family "Bacterial small subunit ribosomal RNA", at positions 15 to 235 of the family's 1533-position model. The record is from RNAcentral.